RNAcentral lists this unclassified non-coding RNA (345 nucleotides) under soil metagenome. RNAcentral's name for it is "partial contains 5.8S ribosomal RNA, internal transcribed spacer 2, and large subunit ribosomal RNA". The stretch from base 1 to 119 matches the Rfam family "5.8S ribosomal RNA", at positions 35 to 154 of the family's 154-position model. The record is from RNAcentral.
GAUGAAGAACGCAGCGAAAUGCGAUACGUAAUGUGAAUUGCAAAUUCAGUGAAUCAUCGAGUCUUUGAACGCACAUUGCGCCCCCUGGUAUUCCGGGGGGCAUGCCUGUCCGAGCGUCAUUGCUGCCCUCAAGCACGGCUUGUGUGUUGGGCCCCGUCCUCCGAUCCCGGGGGACGGGCCCGAAAGGCAGCGGCGGCACCGCGUCCGGUCCUCGAGCGUAUGGGGCUUUGUCACCCGCUCCGUAGGCCCGGCCGGCGCUUGCCGAUCAACCCAAAUUUUUGUCCAGGUUGACCUCGGAUCAGGUAGGGAUACCCGCUGAACUUAAGCAUAUCAAUAAGCGGAGGA